This 305-nucleotide long non-coding RNA is filed under the name Solanum tuberosum (potato). RNAcentral describes it as "long non-coding RNA (STUB_LNC002757)". The record is from RNAcentral. Lineage: Eukaryota; Viridiplantae; Streptophyta; Magnoliopsida; Solanales; Solanaceae.
CUAGUGCCCGGACCUGCAUCACGAAACAGAUGCAGAGCGUAGCAUGAGUACCAAAACAACCGGUACCCAGUAGGCAUCAUAGGCCGACUGAACUUGAAAAAUAAAGGCAAUAUGAAAAGAAGGAAUAAUACAAACCGAGGGUCAAGAGCGAAAAUCUAAGUAACAAUGGAAUGCACACGAGUGUACAAAGAACUAACUAAAGUAAUCUAUAAGCUAACUACACCUAACUGGACCCCCCAUAAGCCCAGAAGGUACACUCGUGCGCAAGUUAAAUAAAAACCCGAACGGACCCCCAUAAGCCCGAC